RNAcentral lists this long non-coding RNA (438 nucleotides) under Anolis carolinensis (green anole). RNAcentral describes it as "lncRNA (ENSACAG00000030902.2)". The record is from RNAcentral. Lineage: Eukaryota; Metazoa; Chordata; Lepidosauria; Squamata; Anolidae.
AUGACACUAAGUCCUGUGGCAGCUCAAGAAUUAAUGGUCUACCCAGACUUAUUGUACCACAGUAAAGUCCAAUGUUAUUAUGAGUUGAGAACACAAGGAUUCAUUUUGCAGCAGCAACCAAAUCAAAGUCACAGGUAUCAUCCAGCUCACUCCCAGCAAGUCAUCCUAGGAUACCAUUCUCCUUUAUACGUGGAUCUCCAGAAGAAACCUGGAUCAUAUGGUGAAAAUAGAUGGAGAGAUGGGGAACAACGAAGGAAACACAAAGAACUUACCUUUUCAGAAAUGGAUCCCCAAAUGUUUUAUAGCAGAGCCAACCAUGAGGAAUUUGCUUCUGCUCUAAACUACAGCUGUGAAGAAAAAUGACAAGAGAAGAAGCCAAGACCACAUUCCACUUAUUACAAAUUUUAUUAAUAUAGAAUAAAUGAAAUCCAAUAAUGA